CUUUACACAUGCAAGUCGAACGGUAACAGGGUGCUUGCACCGCUGACGAGUGGCGAACGGGUGAGUAAUGCGUCGGAACGUGCCGAGUAGUGGGGGAUAACGCAGCGAAAGUUGUGCUAAUACCGCAUACGUACUGAGGUAGAAAGUGGGGGACCUUCGGGCCUCACGCUAUUCGAGCGGCCGACGUCUGAUUAGCUAGUAGGUGAGGUAAAGGCUCACCUAGGCGACGAUCAGUAGCGGGUCUGAGAGGAUGAUCCGCCACACUGGGACUGAGACACGGCCCAGACUCCUACGGGAGGCAGCAGUGGGGAAUUUUGGACAAUGGGCGAAAGCCUGAUCCAGCCAUGCCGCGUGUCUGAAGAAGGCCUUCGGGUUGUAAAGGACUUUUGUCAGGGAGGAAAUCCCUAGCGUUAAUACCGCUGGGGGAUGACAGUACCUGAAGAAUAANCACCGGCUAACUACGUGCCAGCAGCC
Molecule: ribosomal RNA, 474 nt
Filed under: uncultured bacterium
Lineage: Bacteria
Description: bacterial SSU rRNA
Rfam family: Bacterial small subunit ribosomal RNA
Source: RNAcentral